This 292-nucleotide ribosomal RNA is filed under the name uncultured bacterium. Its description in RNAcentral is "partial 16S ribosomal RNA". It matches the Rfam family "Bacterial small subunit ribosomal RNA", at positions 505 to 796 of the family's 1533-position model. The record is from RNAcentral.
GUGCCAGCCGCCGCGGUAAUACGUAGGGGGCAAGCGUUGUCCGGAUUUAUUGGGCGUAAAGCGCGUGUAGGCGGCCAGGCAGGUCCGUUGUGAAAACUGGAGGCUCAACUUCCAGCUGUCGAUGGAAACCGCUUGGCUAGAGUCCGGAAGAGGAGAGUGGAAUUCCUGGUGUAGCGGUGAAAUGCGCAGAUAUCAGGAAGAACACCAAUGGCGAAGGCAGCUCUCUGGGACGGUACUGACGCUGAGACGCGAAAGCGUGGGGAGCGAACAGGAUUAGAUACCCCUGUAGUCC